GCGCCCGUAGCUCAGGUGGAUAGAGCAUCUGCCUUCUAAGCAGAUGGCCGCAGGUUCGAGUCCUGCCGGGCGCACCA
This 77-nucleotide transfer RNA is filed under the name Acidobacteriota bacterium. RNAcentral describes it as "Acidobacteria bacterium (sediment metagenome) tRNA-Arg". It matches the Rfam family "tRNA". From Rfam's summary of the family: Transfer RNA (tRNA) molecules are approximately 80 nucleotides in length. The record is from RNAcentral. Lineage: Bacteria; Pseudomonadati; Acidobacteriota.